Molecule: non-coding RNA, 1078 nt
Organism: Cicer arietinum (chickpea)
Lineage: Eukaryota; Viridiplantae; Streptophyta; Magnoliopsida; Fabales; Fabaceae
Source: RefSeq, a predicted model, not a curated record
AACAGACUUCGCAAAACUCACUCUCACUAGCAAAACCCUUCCCUUGGUCUCUCUUAUGCUUCAAUUUGUUCAUGCUUUAAUUUAUUUAUGUUUUAAUUUAAUAUUUCUCAUCAGUAUUCUUUUUCUAGCGAGUCUAGUUUGACUAUGCCAUGUUCUAAUUUAGGAUUAUUUUUAUUUAUGCUUUAAUUUAUUUAUUGCAUACUUAAGUUUCUGCACAAACAAUUGCUACUACUCUGUUGUGUUUGGUUUGGUACUAUUGAUGUUAUUCUUUUUAGGAUUCCACUAUUAUUCUUUUUAUUCAUGAAAUAUGGCAGUUCCUUUUGGUUUGUUACUAUUGUUGUGUUUGGUUUGGUACUAUUGUUGUGUUUGGUACUAUUGAUAAGAUUUUGCUUGUGUUAGCAUUAUAAGAGAUAUUUGAUCAUAGCUUGAUUAUGAUUUGAGAUGAGGUUUAUUAUUGUUGUGAUUGGUUUGCAACUCCGAUGAUUACCGAUGGGUGGUAGUGCUAGUGCAUAUAUAUUGUGAAAAUGUAUAACUGAUAUGCAGUUGUGACUAAGGUUUGAUCUUUGAGUGCAGGCAAAAAGUGUCGCUUUUGUGCAGGAUAAAUGGCUAUUGGUGAACAUACAAUCUACCAAGGAAUUCAGCUCACAUAUGGUUAAGGCUAGAAUCCAAGGGGCUGAAGAGUUUGGUGAGUUUGAGGAAUGGUUCAAUUACAGGCUAUCGAGAGCAGCACAUGAAACAUGUGUUGAUUUCCUUAGAAGUUUCAUAGUUGAUAAAACUAACUCACAGUUCAUAAAAGGUGGAAAAUGGCUUGUUUAGAAGUUUGAGGUUAGGUGUUAUGCCUCAUAUUUCUAUUUCAUAUAUAAAUAGACAUAAAAUUACUUUUUAUAACUAUUUCAUUUAAGCGUCUUGCAAGGUGUAGACUCUUCUAGGCAAAAUGCGUUGAUCAUCAAGCAUAUCAUGCUCCAGAUAAUUACUUCUCUAAAGAAAAUUCAUGAUACUUGCAUCGUUCACAUAGAUAUAAAGCUAGCCAACUUAGUGGUUACUAAACGGGGGUAGAUUAAACUCGUUGAUUUUGGUG